UACUGUAGUAUUGAUUUGAAAUGAUGGUUUCGCAACUUUUUGCCCAACAGUGAUAAUAAAUAACGUUCAAUUCACUUCUUCUUCUCCUCGAGGUACUUUGGUUCUCUUUCAUUUAGGUUUAUAUAUAGGCAGCACUUCCAUUGUUGCAGAAGGUUUUCUCUCUUCUAAACUCAAUCUCUCUUUCUCUGUCCAUAUGCUCCUUGUAAAUGAUGGUACAAUGACCAAGCUUCAGAAUUUGGAUGCUUAUGCCAAAAUCAAUGAAGAUUUCUACCGUCGUACCCUCUCCAGUGGCGUAAUCACAAUCGCCUCCUCCAUUGUCAUGCUCUUGGUAUUUCUCGCCGAGCUCGGUGCAUAUUCUUUUCUUUCGUUUUUAAUAUUUGGGGUUGGGGAUCUUGUACUUUUUGGGGUUAAUUUUUGUUUGAGAUUAGUUAAAGAAGUCAUUGAGAAUUCAUAUGUUGCUAUAGUUUAGUUUUCUUUAACAGUCAAUUUUCUUUCAGAGCUACUUUCAUUGGCAAGCAAGGAUUGUAAUUGCAACAUUUAUCAAUACAUAACUUUUACUAUUUUAGUUGGGGUUAUAAUUAUUUAGAAAUCAUGAUGUAGUUAUAUGUUAUCCUUAUAACCUGAUUAUUCUGAUCCCGUCUUUGUUGAUUUCUGUAUUGUUUCUUUUCUGAUGAGUUGCAUUGUUGGGUUUACUAUUGAGAAACAUGAUAAUUGAUAUCCAAAUUGGCAUAUGAAGUUCACAAUUUAUUCUUUGAUCACCAUUUUCUCCAAAUAAAUCUUCGUGGAGCUUAACCUCUUUGACUAUUAUGACAGAAUGCCACAGAAAAGCCAAAAGAUUUUUGUUCAUGUGCUUUCAGAAAUUGCUGCCCAUGAGGUUGAGGAAAUGUGUAUGGCUACAAUUAUAUGAGUAGUUAUAACUAUUGUUAUCUCACACAAAUUAUUAUCGUUGCAAGUUGAAUUUUUUUAUUAAUUAUUUCCCUGGUAUUGCAUAAAUAAAUUGAUUUUGUGUACAUGAUAUCCGAUAAUAGGAUUCGAACAUUUACUAAGGGAUUUUGAUCUUGUUAUUGAUCAGAAGCUUUCUUUAAGUCAUGAGAUACUUUACCAUUUGCAGCACUUCAACAUUGUCAGCAAGAGGGGAAACUAAGGCUUCUAUAUCAACAUCUUCAUAAGAUAUCUCAUCAAGAAGCUCCUGGAAAGCUUAUACAAAUGGAGAGCUUCCUGAUAAGAUUGAUAUGGAUUUCUCUCAAGUGUAGUUUGGGGGUUGCAAGGAUUGAACAAAUGAGACUAAACACGUUGAGAGGUCUAGCUCGAUGUGUUUGGAAGCUUAACACUUUGGGGUUGCUUCUUACACAGCAUCAGAUUGAGUUUCAUCCUUACCUCUACUCAUGAGGUUAAGUAUUCGGCUAGUGGCCUUUCUCUAUGGAUACCAAUCAAUUUUCUUAUGUUGUGUUCAAAUAGGUUUCAAGAGCCAAUGAUAUCAAUGUUAUGUGAAAUUGUACUCAAGGCUCUAUUGCAUUAGAGGAUGUCGAUCCUGCAUUAGCAUUUAGUUGAUUGGAUUUUACGUUUUGUAAAUCUCUUUUGUACUCACGGUUUUUGCUACUGUAGUGGCUUUUAAAAUAAAAUUUUGUUUCCAUGUUCAA
RNA transcript from Humulus lupulus (European hop), 1640 nucleotides. RefSeq lists it as uncharacterized. The record is from RefSeq and is a predicted model, not a curated record. The transcript is spliced from 4 exons. NCBI's taxonomy places the organism in Eukaryota, Viridiplantae, Streptophyta, Magnoliopsida, Rosales, Cannabaceae.